RNAcentral lists this ribosomal RNA (517 nucleotides) under uncultured bacterium. Its description in RNAcentral is "bacterial SSU rRNA". It matches the Rfam family "Bacterial small subunit ribosomal RNA", at positions 28 to 573 of the family's 1533-position model. The record is from RNAcentral.
GACGAACGCUGGCGGCGUGCUUAAAACAUGCAAGUCGAACGAGACCUUUGGUCUAGUGGCGAACGGCGGAGUAAUACAUAAGCAACCUGCCUCAAAGACCGGGAUAGCCCCUCGAAAGAGGGAUUAAUACCGGAUGUGGCCUUUCGUGGGCAUCCACGAAAGAUUAAAACGAGUAAUCGGCUUUGAGAGGGGCUUGUGGCCUAUCAGCUUGUUGGUGGGGUAAUGGCCUACCAAGGCUUCGACGGGUAGCGGGUCUGAGAGGAUGAUCCGCCCGACUGGGACUGAGACACGGCCCAGACUCCUACGGGAGGCAGCAGUUGGGAAUCUUGCACAAUGGGCGAAAGCCUGAUGCAGCGACGCCGCGUGGAGGACGAAGUCUCUCGGGAUGUAAACUCCUUUUGCCAGGAACGAUAAUGACGGUACCUGGUGAAUAAGCCCCGGCUAACUACGUGCCAGCAGCCGCGGUAAGACGUAGGGGGCGAGCGUUGUCCGGNUUUACUGGGCGUAAGAGCGCGUA